Humulus lupulus (European hop) is the source of this 107-nucleotide small nucleolar RNA. NCBI's taxonomy places the organism in Eukaryota, Viridiplantae, Streptophyta, Magnoliopsida, Rosales, Cannabaceae. The record is from RefSeq and is a predicted model, not a curated record.
UAUUCAUGAUGUGGGCAUUGAUUUAACAAAUCUUUAAACCUUUCCUAGACUUGAUAGAAAGUCUCAUGGUCUUUCUGGUUGAAGGUAAAGAUUUUUAUUUUAAGGCU